Molecule: long non-coding RNA, 436 nt
Organism: Stegostoma tigrinum
Lineage: Eukaryota; Metazoa; Chordata; Chondrichthyes; Orectolobiformes; Stegostomatidae
Exons: 3
Source: RefSeq, a predicted model, not a curated record
UUCAGUUAACGGUUUACAGCAGUUUGAAAUUGGUCGGGGCGUGUUUCGCUGGAAGCAAGUUCGUUUGAUGUUUUCUUUGAUCUCUCGUCGAACACCAGCGGGAAUGUUGGAGUCAAUUUUCUGAAUGCACAGCAGCACUGGGAGUCCUCACCAAUGGACAAACUGAAGAAGGAAUCCAAAGACAGUGACUGGGUAUGGGAUGAUUCGUUUGGCAUUCAGAUCACAUACAGUCAAAGAAUGCUGGAGGCCAAUAGAGAAGACUUUGCCGCCCACUGAGAUUCGUUCAUACUGCCAAAGCCAACUGAACCCGCAGCAUACACGAUGGUAUACUUAUACACUAAGUGAUGGAGAUCUAGAAAUAUGUUGUUAAUUUAUGAAAUUGCUCUGAGAAGAUAAUUCCGGUCAUGAUUGGGAUGUUAAUCUUUGUCUUAGUUAG